This 74-nucleotide transfer RNA is filed under the name Trichomalopsis sarcophagae. RNAcentral describes it as "tRNA-OTHER". It matches the Rfam family "tRNA". From Rfam's summary of the family: Transfer RNA (tRNA) molecules are approximately 80 nucleotides in length. The record is from RNAcentral. Lineage: Eukaryota; Metazoa; Arthropoda; Insecta; Hymenoptera; Pteromalidae.
GUAGACGUUAGCUCAGUGGUUAGAGCACAGGCCGAUGGCUCUCGGGUCCGCGAGUUCGAGUCCCGUCGUCUACU